Molecule: transfer RNA, 77 nt
Filed under: Rhodoluna sp. KAS3
Lineage: Bacteria; Bacillati; Actinomycetota; Actinomycetes; Micrococcales; Microbacteriaceae
Also listed under: 9 other names
Description: tRNA-Lys
Rfam family: tRNA
About the family: Transfer RNA (tRNA) molecules are approximately 80 nucleotides in length.
Source: RNAcentral
GGGCCUCUAGCUCAGUUGGUUAGAGCAACGGACUUUUAAUCCGUGGGUCGUCGGUUCGAUCCCGACGGGGCCUACCA